AUGGCAACGAAAUUAUUAACUUUAAUCGCUUCCACUUUUCUGUUGCUGACUUUGAUCAGCAGCAACAUCAACGUGGUUGCAGCGGAGACAGAAGCUGGUGCCGUUGACGAUUUGAACUUAGGGAAUUUUAAUGAUAAAGCAAAUGGAGUUCUUCAAGAUGCUAUUGAUGAGGAAGAAAGUGAAGAAGACAGCGAUGAAGCAGACGACGAAAAUGAUAGCAAAGAGAUCGUAAAGAAAAACAAAGAUAAAAAAGAAACCCGCAAAGAGUCGAGUACAAGCAAAAGUGAAGCAGAUGCCAAAGAAUUGAAGGAAGAUGUAGAUAAAGAAGGUGAGUAUGCCCGAAAGCUGAAUAAGCAAGAACGCAUAAAUUUUCGAUUGACUUCGGAAAAGUGUCUUACCACAAUUAGAAGUAUUAAGUCCGUACUAAAUUUAGAUCAAAAACGACCCGUUGGCACUUUAAUGAAACAAUUUAUUGAAAACUUUAUUCUAAUAAAAUAUCUGCAUUAUUUUGAUUUAGUUGUCGAUAACCCUAAAAAUAAAAGAGGUAAAAAUGGCGGCGAUCGCAAAAGAAAACGUAAUAACUUGAGAAAUCGUAAAAGAAAACAAGCAAUCGCUGAAGCCAAACUCCAAGAGCUUACUCUGUUGGAAAAUGCGCAAGAGGAAGAAAAGAACAUUAGAGCUGAACCAACAACAGAGAGUAUCGAAGAUUCAGAGACCAGAGACCAGUACCGAAACUGUAACGGAAGAAUCGAAAGACACUAAACGAGAGACUACUAAGAAACCGAGUGCCAAGAAACCUAAAGCACGACCGGCAAAAUCUGCAAAGCGCAGUACUAAAAAAUUCAAGGUCACUGGAAUACCGUUUCCGAAAAAUAACAAAGGUAAAAGGGGGAAUGGUAAAAAGAGGCAGAAGCAGAAGCAGAAGGGACGAGGUAGACGAAGACCGAAGUUCGGAAAGAGCCUCUAAAGGAAAUUAGUAUCUUAAUUCAUUUCUUAAUAUUUAAGUAGCUUUUAUGUAAAUAUUAUUUAUUAUUAUAUGGAG
Bactrocera dorsalis (oriental fruit fly) is the source of this 1042-nucleotide RNA transcript. It is a transcript of the gene named DNA ligase 1, with no coding region annotated. The transcript is spliced from 2 exons. The record is from RefSeq and is a predicted model, not a curated record. NCBI's taxonomy places the organism in Eukaryota, Metazoa, Arthropoda, Insecta, Diptera, Tephritidae.